RNAcentral lists this ribosomal RNA (440 nucleotides) under uncultured bacterium. Its description in RNAcentral is "partial 16S ribosomal RNA". It matches the Rfam family "Bacterial small subunit ribosomal RNA", at positions 338 to 795 of the family's 1533-position model. The record is from RNAcentral.
CCUACGGUGAGCAGCAGUGGGGAAUAUUGCACAAUGGGGGAAACCCUGAUGCAGCGACGCCGCGUGAGUGAAGAAGUAUUUCGGUACGUAAAGCUCUAUCAGCAGGGAAGAAAAUGACGGUACCUGACUAAGAAGCCCCGUCUAACUACGUGCCAGAAGCCGCGGUAAUACGUAGGGGGCAAGCGUUAUCCGGAUUUACUGGGUGUAAAGGGAGCGUAGACGGCAGCGCAAGUCUGAAGUGAAAUCCCAUGGCUUAAACAUGGAACUGCUGUGGAAACUGUGGAGCUGGAGUGCAGGGGAGGUAAGCGGAAUUCCUAGUGUAGCGGUGAAAUGCGUAGAUAUUAGGAGGAACACCAGUGGCGAAGGCGGUUUACUGGACUGUAACUGACGUUGAGGCGCGAAAGCGUGGGGAGCAAACAGGAUUAGAUACCCGGGUAGUC